RNAcentral lists this unclassified non-coding RNA (2060 nucleotides) under Stegodyphus dumicola. RNAcentral describes it as "zinc finger protein 85-like, transcript variant X3". Lineage: Eukaryota; Metazoa; Arthropoda; Arachnida; Araneae; Eresidae. The record is from RNAcentral.
CCUUUAUGUCACUAUGGCUAAGGUUCCUAUAGGAGCCUUAACUAUGGCCAAAGAACCUUACAGAUUCUUUUACUAUGGCUACUGACGGCAGAAAGACUCAGUCGGUGCAAAAUAAUACAUCUGUCGAAUUUUCCUACAUUGAAGUAAUACAUAAGCAGUCUUCAUACAAAUUAAUAGGAAGUGUUCUUUCUCCGCUGCAAAAUAUUUCCCAAAUUGUGUACCGUGAAAUGUGGGAAUUAUUUUAAGUGUUGGCUAACAAAUGGUGUGAACCUCAUACGUGUGAAAAAUGUCAUAAUUGUGAGGUAUGGAAGUUGUUUAGUCAGAAAGGAAGUUGAACAUGCAUUUGCGUAUUCACACUAGAGAAAAAAAACUUUACAUGUGUGAAGUAUGUAAAGCAUUCUUUUGUCAAAACAGUCAUUUAAAGGUGCAUAUGCGUACUCAUUCAGAAGAGAAAGCUCAUCAAAAUGUAGUAUAUUUAACAUAAUCGCAUAAAUUCAUAAUUAAAUAAGUAUAUCUUCUUGAGCAAGGAAUCAUAUUUCUGUGAAAUGAAGAAAUUAAUUUUUACUGAAAUAUUCUUAGAAAUCAAACCAUGCUUAUAUAGUGCAUUAGAUAAAUAUGCGCGAAAUAUCUAAAUAUAUUUUUCAUGAUAAUCACUUGUAUAUUUGUGCAGGACACUGAAAACUAGUAUGAGAUACCCAAGAACAACCUUCGGUAAAAUUUCUGUCAAGCAACCUAUGCAGAAUAGAAACAUCCAAGUUUUUAUGAUAUCAAAGUUUAUAGUUCUCUCUAUAGCAAGGAAAAUUAAGUUCCAGUGGAAUGUAACCAUAAUUUGGAACGAGCAGUGUUUUAGAAGACCUUAUGGAUGGCAAUAUAGGAAAGAAACCUUAUGUGUGUGAAAUACGAAUCACAACUGUGUUAUUAAUGAUGGAAAUGUCUUUCGUAUUAACACUUGUCAUGAAAUAAAGCAUUAAUUGCUUCUAUUCAUGGUGAAGAAAAACUGAAGAACAUGUCCUCCCAACUCCAGUAUUAAAUGUAUCGACGUAUAAUGUUAAAAAAACCAGUAGAGGAUUAUGACAUAUACUGUUGGAAAUGAGUUUUUUCCAAAUAUUUCAAGUCAAAUCUUGGACAUACCAAGUAGAGCAACCUUAUCUGUAUAACAGAUAUAAAAGAUAAUUGGGAAACAUCAUUUCCGUGCAGUUUCUUCUAUUGUUGGCAAAUUUCAAGAGCCAUAUUUUAAAAUAAAUGAAGAAAAGUAUCACAGUAUGUCUGUGAAAACAACUGGAACAUGGAAUAUCAGAAAAAGGACACAUACGAAAAUGCGGGCAUUGCUUGACUGAAGGAUUGUUAUAAGCAUAGUUUUUUGAAGAACGUUUAUGCACAUGGUUACUAGAGUUUGGCACAGUCUGAAAAACUGGUGACUUCUAGUAACGUGUUGUGAUAAUACGAUUCAUCUAAUGGCAGUACUUAGGCUAUCCUAAAACUAUGCCAAAGAUUAAUUUGCAUUAUAAAUUCCUGAAUCCGAGAUGUGUACAUGAACUUAAUGGCUACUUUUGAAUUGACAUUUGAUCGAGCUGAUGUAAACCUGGGAAAUAAAAUGCUUAGACAGUAAAUGUGCAAGAUGAAAAGUUUAACUAAUCAAAGAUUUGGAUGUUAUCUGGAGACAAUUUGUUGAUACUGCAUGCUGAACAACAUUGUGAAAGAUUCAACUUCAGAAUUUAAAUGUUGCGAAAGCAUACCAUCAUCCAGUUUUCUGAGAUGAAAAACAAAAAUGUUCUGCAAUUUAAAAUAGUAUUUGUUACCUUUGUUAUUAUGAAUUUGCUGCGAGAUAAAAAAAAAGGUAUUAUGCAAAUUUAUCUUUGAAUAUCAGCUAUGGUGUGCCUUUCAAUAUCAAGUUUCUAAUUCCACAUGUGCACAAACAUAGGGCUGUGGCUGGAAUAUAUCAGGACUUAAAAGAGAAGGGCUAGCUCAUAGGGUUGUUCCCCUGAAACAGGCAGUGGGGAGUGAUGACAGCCAUGAUGACACUGAGCGCAGAGAUGCAACUGACAACAUAGAAAUUAGCG